RNAcentral lists this ribosomal RNA (379 nucleotides) under uncultured bacterium. Its description in RNAcentral is "partial 16S ribosomal RNA". It matches the Rfam family "Bacterial small subunit ribosomal RNA", at positions 355 to 726 of the family's 1533-position model. The record is from RNAcentral.
UGGGGAAUUUUGGACAAUGGGGGAAACCCUGAUCCAGCCAUCCCGCGUGUGCGAUGAAGGCCUUCGGGUUGUAAAGCACUUUUGGCAGGAAAGAAACGUCGCGGGUUAAUACCCCGCGGAACUGACGGUACCUGCAGAAUAAGCACCGGCUAACUACGUGCCAGCAGCCGCGGUAAUACGUAGGGUGCAAGCGUUAAUCGGAAUUACUGGGCGUAAAGCGUGCGCAGGCGGUUCGGAAAGAAAGAUGUGAAAUCCCAGAGCUUAACUUUGGAACUGCAUUUUUAACUACCGGGCUAGAGUGUGUCAGAGGGAGGUGGAAUUCCGCGUGUAGCAGUGAAAUGCGUAGAUAUGCGGAGGAACACCGAUGGCGAAGCNCNCC